GGAUUCCCCUAGUAACUGCGAGUGAAGCGGGAAAAGCUCAAAUUUAAAAUCUGGCGGUCUUUGGCCGUCCGAGUUGUAAUCUAGAGAAGUAAUGCCCGUGCUGGACCGUGUAUAAGUCUCCUGGGAUGGGGCGUCAUAGAGGGUGAGAAUCCCGUCUUUGACACGGACUACCAGUGCAUUGUGGUAUGCUCUCAAAGAGUCGAGUUGUUUGGGAAUGCAGCUCAAAAUGGGUGGUAAAUUCCAUCUAAAGCUAAAUAUUGGCGAGAGACCGAUAGCGAACAAGUACCGUGAGGGAAAGAUGAAAAGAACUUUGGAAAGAGAGUUAAACAGUACGUGAAAUUGCUGAAAGGGAAACGCUUGAAGUCAGUCGCGUUGGCCAGGGAUCAGCCUUGCUUUUGCAUGGUGUACUUUCUGGUUGACGGGUCAGCAUCAAUUUUGACCGCUGGAAAAGGGCCUGGGGAAUGUGGCAGCUUCGGCUGUGUUAUAGCCCCUGGUCGCAUACAGUGGUUGGGAUUGAGGAACUCAGCACGCCGCAAGGCCGGGUUUCGACCACGUUCGUGCUUAGGAUGCUGGCAUAAUGGCUUUAAGCGACCCGUCUUGAAACACGGACCAAGGAGUCUAACAUGCCUGCGAGUAUUUGGGUGGAAAACCCGAGUGCGCAAUGAAAGUGAAAGUUGAGAUCCCUGUCGUGGGGAGCAUCGACGCCCGGACCAGAACUUUUGGGACGGAUCCGCGGUGGAGCAUGUAUGUUGGGACCCGAAAGAUGGUGAACUAUGCCUGAAUAGGGUGAAGCCAGAGGAAACUCUGGUGGAGGCUCGUAGCGAUUCUGACGUGCAAAUCGAUCGUCAAAUUUGGGUAUAGGGGGCGAAA
RNAcentral lists this ribosomal RNA (870 nucleotides) under Agaricus sp. Its description in RNAcentral is "partial large subunit ribosomal RNA". It matches the Rfam family "Eukaryotic large subunit ribosomal RNA", at positions 72 to 928 of the family's 3401-position model. The record is from RNAcentral. Lineage: Eukaryota; Fungi; Basidiomycota; Agaricomycetes; Agaricales; Agaricaceae.